Molecule: non-coding RNA, 135 nt
Organism: Triticum aestivum (bread wheat)
Lineage: Eukaryota; Viridiplantae; Streptophyta; Magnoliopsida; Poales; Poaceae
Source: Rfam
UUUAUACUCCCGCCGUCGCAAAAUUCGUGUCUUAAAUUUGUUUAGAUACGGAUGUAUCAAGUCACGUUUUAGUAUUAGAUACAUCCGUAUCUAGACAAAUCUAAGACAAGAAUUUUGGGACGGAGGGUGUAUAAU